Molecule: ribosomal RNA, 469 nt
Filed under: uncultured bacterium
Lineage: Bacteria
Description: bacterial SSU rRNA
Rfam family: Bacterial small subunit ribosomal RNA
Source: RNAcentral
AAGGACGAACGCUGGCGGCGCGCCUAACACAUGCAAGCGAACGAGAGAUGAGGAGCUUGCUCUUCAAAUCGAGUGGCGAACGGGUGAGUAACGCGUGAGGAACCUGCCUCAAAGAGGGGGACAACAGUUGGAAAACGACUGCUAAUACCGCAUAAGCCCACGGCUCGGCAUCGAGCAGAGGGAAAAGGAGCAAUCCGCUUUGAGAUGGCCUCGCGUCCGAUUAGCUAGUUGGUGAGGUAAUGGCCCACCAAGGCGACGAUCGGUAGCCGGACUGAGAGGUUGAACGGCCACAUUGGGACUGAGACACGGCCCAGACUCCUACGGGAGGCAGCAGUGGGGAAUAUUGCACAAUGGGGGAAACCCUGAUGCAGCGACGCCACGUGGAGGAAGAAGGUCUUCGGAUUGUAAACUCCUGUUGUUGAGGAAGAUAAUGACGGUACUCAACAAGGAAGUGACGGCUAACUACGUG